RNAcentral lists this ribosomal RNA (492 nucleotides) under uncultured bacterium. RNAcentral describes it as "partial 16S ribosomal RNA". It matches the Rfam family "Bacterial small subunit ribosomal RNA", at positions 29 to 507 of the family's 1533-position model. The record is from RNAcentral.
AGUGAACGCUGGCGGUAGGCCUAACACAUGCAAGUCGAACGGCAGCACAGUAAGAGCUUGCUCUUACGGGUGGCGAGUGGCGGACGGGUGAGGAAUACAUCGGAAUCUACUUUUUCGUGGGGGAUAACGUAGGGAAACUUACGCUAAUACCGCAUACGACCUACGGGUGAAAGCAGGGGAUCUUCGGACCUUGCGCGAUUGAAUGAGCCGAUGUCGGAUUAGCUAGUUGGCGGGGUAAAGGCCCACCAAGGCGACGAUCCGUAGCUGGUCUGAGAGGAUGAUCAGCCACACUGGAACUGAGACACGGUCCAGACUCCUACGGGAGGCAGCAGUGGGGAAUAUUGGACAAUGGGCGCAUGCCUGAUCCAGCCAUACCGCGUGGGUGAAGAAGGCCUUCGGGUUGUAAAGCCCUUUUGUUGGGAAAGAAAAGCAGCAGGUUAAUACCCCGCUGUUCUGACGGUACCCAAAGAGUAAGCACCGGCUAACUUCGUG